Molecule: transfer RNA, 91 nt
Filed under: bacterium
Lineage: Bacteria
Description: tRNA-Ser
Rfam family: tRNA
About the family: Transfer RNA (tRNA) molecules are approximately 80 nucleotides in length. Their secondary structure includes four short double-helical elements and three loops (D, anti-codon, and T loops).
Source: RNAcentral
GGAGAGGUGGCUGAGUGGCUGAAAGCGGCAGAUUGCUAAUCUGUUAUACGGGUGAAUGCUCGUAUCGGGGGUUCGAACCCCCCUCUCUCCG